RNAcentral lists this long non-coding RNA (1187 nucleotides) under Anas platyrhynchos platyrhynchos (common mallard). RNAcentral describes it as "lncRNA (ENSAPLG00000022267.1)". The record is from RNAcentral. Lineage: Eukaryota; Metazoa; Chordata; Aves; Anseriformes; Anatidae.
GGGACUGCUCAGUUUUAGAAAAGCAAACUUAUUUUCAGUGAUAUAGCUUUUACAUCCAUCAUUUUUCUGUGUGAUCUGUUUCUGUUCACCCCAUGUACAUGGGUAUGCUAUAGAUAGCCUGAAAAAGCAAAUACUCCGCAUAUUCUGGCCUUACCAGAUAUGAAACAUAAUACAUAAUCUAUAGUUAAGAGUUUGGGAAAGCAUCAAAAUAAGCUCUAGUUAUAUAAUAUAUAUCUAUAUCUGAGGGUGGGGGGGCAUUUGCAGGCUCACAUUUAACUUUUUUUUUUUUAAAUAUAUAUUAGAAAACAGUGAUCUUGUUUAGUGAUGCCUUGUUUAGUGAUAUUUAACCAAGUUUUAGAAAACUUACCUAUUUUUCUGUAGAGUUUUGGUAUAUUCCUCCUGAAUUGAAGAAACACAUUUGAGAGCUGUAUAUGGCUAUUAUCUUUCAGACCAUCCUUGCAAGUAGUGUCCCACUUCAGAUUCUUGUGCUUUGAGGCAGGCCAGGGACUAUGACAUACUUCAGGCAAGUGGUUGAGACCCCAGGCAAGUCAUGAAUUAAGAAGGUGCAUCCAUGUGGCACCACGUAAUCCUUUAUCAAGGCAGAGGGAAUGUUUCAAGUCCACAAGCAAUCUAGCAGGCAUUGUUUGCCAAGGUGCACAGCAUCCCCUUUGUGGCCUCUAGGUCAGAGGAUAGAGCUGGUCCUGCUGAGGUGAAAAUGGGACACCAGAUGCUCCUUGUUUUCAGAAUAUGUGACUCUGCAAAACUGAGACUUACCAGUGAAAGAGCUGAGAACCGAUUGCCUUCUGUGAACAACUUUGGACUUCAGCAUUGUGGUGGUAUGGGAUAUGAAAGCAAUUUUCAGGAAUGAAUCAGGAACUUUGGACUGACAUCACAUGGGCCUUCCAGGUACCUAAUUCACUUUGGAAAUGAGACUUGGGGUACAGAUGUCAAAUGCAAUGGGUCACUUGUUGCUCUUUCAGGCCUUUUUGAGUUUACCACUUCUGUGACAUUGAUAGGUCAAUUGCAUGCUAAUCAACUCAAACCUGCCUUAGUUUCCAAGCACAUACCUAAAUGAGCUAAAAUUAGUCAUUUGUUUUGACAAUCCACAGGAGCUUUUCAGCAGCAAUCCUGGCAAUGAACAUAACAUCCAUAGCAAUAAAGGUUAUAAUCUACCUCUGUGAAUAGCA